CCUACGGGAGGCAGCAGUGAGGAAUAUUUGUCAAUGGGCGCGAGCCUGAACCAGCCAAGUCGCGUGAAGGAUGACUGCCCUACGGGUUGUAACCUUCUUUUUUAACGGGAUAAAGUGAGGUACGUGUUCCUUUUUGUAUGUCUUUUAUGAAUACGGAUCGGCUAACUAGGUGUCAGCAGCCGCUGUAAUCCGGAGGAUCUGGGCGUUAUCCGGAUUUAUUGGGUUUAAAGGGAGCGUAGAUGGGUUGUUAAGUCAGUUGGAAAAGUUUGCGGCUCAACCGUAAAAUUGCAAUUGAUACUGGCAGCCUUGAGUACAUUUGAGGUAGGCGGAAUGCGUGGUGUAGCGGUGAAAUGCUUAGAUAUCACGAAGAACUCCGAUUGCGAAGGCAGCCUACUAAACUGCCACUGACAUUGAUGCUCGAAAGUGUGGGUAUCAAACAGGAUUAGAUACCCGGGUAGUC
RNAcentral lists this ribosomal RNA (460 nucleotides) under uncultured bacterium. RNAcentral's name for it is "partial 16S ribosomal RNA". It matches the Rfam family "Bacterial small subunit ribosomal RNA", at positions 338 to 795 of the family's 1533-position model. The record is from RNAcentral.